AUCGCUUCUCAGCCUUUUGGCUAAGAUCAAGUGUAGUAUGACAACACUAUUACAAAUAGGAAUUUCAUGUCAUACUAUAAAGAGCUGAAUUAUGUAAUUUGACAUGAGUGCUUUUGAUAGGCAGCUCUCACUGAUUUUUUCAACUUUAC
Small nuclear RNA from Oryctolagus cuniculus (rabbit), 149 nucleotides. Its record names the gene U2. It matches the Rfam family "U2 spliceosomal RNA". Rfam says of the family: U2 is a small nuclear RNA (snRNA) component of the spliceosome (involved in pre-mRNA splicing). Complementary binding between U2 snRNA (in an area lying towards the 5' end but 3' to hairpin I) and the branchpoint sequence (BPS) of the intron results the bulging out of an unpaired adenosine, on the BPS, which initiates a nucleophilic attack at the intronic 5' splice site, thus starting the first of two transesterification reactions that mediate splicing. Lineage: Eukaryota; Metazoa; Chordata; Mammalia; Lagomorpha; Leporidae. The record is from Ensembl.